GUGAUUCUAUAAACUUCCCUAAAUGUCUUCAUCAACCAUGUGAAUUACCUGUUUCUGGAGGUUGAUUUCUACUUUUUUAGUUUUCUUACUCAUGUGGUCGGUUUUUCAGUUUUGAUCUCAUUCUAAAAUAGAUACAUGGUAACUGGUCAGAUAUAUUUUUAUAUAGCACAGGAUUCUUGACAGACAUGUCAAACUGAACUGACAUUUUGCCCAUUUUAAGUGCCUACAGACAUAGUGAAAUGGCCCUGUUCAUCUUCAUAACAUUUUAUCUUUUACUGGAGGUUAAAUUGCAAGGUUUGGCCACCAUGUCGUCUUUGCCACCAAUCACAGAGGGCAGCCCAACUACAGUGAUUCCCAAUGGAACCUUACAAGUGAAUUUGUCCACUGCAUCAACAGUGAACACAACAUUUUUGGGUGUAACAUCCACUACUGAGUCUGAAAUCACAACAGACCUGAUAACCAAUAUGUCAAGUCUAAGUUCCCAAGACAACCAUAGUUUAAAAGAUCCUGCAAACGCAUCCUUAGAAUCGACUACACUUACUGAUAAUACAGAACGUGCUUCAGUUUUCCCCUUGAUGACUAAAGGCCCUGAAAUCAGAAAGUACUCAAAUACAAAAAUGUUCUUCCUCAUUGCUGUGGUUGCAUCUGGUGGAGGAAUUGUACUGACUGGACUCGUGGGCACCUGUUUGUACAGACGUACACGAAAGUCAAAGGCAGAGAGGAUUUGGAUCGAAUCGAGCAGCAAAAAACACAAACAGGGACAUUCUUUACCAGUGGCCAGUUCAGACUCAUCUGGAGAGGAAGAUACAGUGCUUUACUCAACCAUCAACUUCAUUCAACCCCCCUCUCAACCACCAGGAAACAAUGAAGAAUCAAUUCAAAAUGAGGUUGAACUGAAUCAUUUGUAUUACACCGUCAUAACCAAACCGGCAAUCUCCAGUGACAGCAGGAGUGUUUACAGUCAGCUGAAGGUCCACUGAAAGAAUACAACUCUGCAUGCUGCUGUUUUAAUGCAGGCCAAAAUUGAUGCAUCUUAAUUUUAAACAUGCUUUAAUCCUCCAUAGCAAUGCCUUUUAUUGUAAAUGUUAAACUUCUGCUUUCUAAUUUCAAUGUUGUAACACCUUUCAAAACUGUGUCAUAAACUUUCUUUCUGAUUUCGGUUUACUUGUAUUUUCUGUAGAUUCACAUGAACAAAAUAACCACAUCAGAAGGCACACAGCAUGAAUAUGCAUACUUUUAAGCAAUAAUAAUUGUUAUUGUGAAUGGCAGUUGUAUAGAUCAACAUAAGGACAGUCAUAUUUCCUCCUGUUACUUGUGUAAAUAUUUUCACCUGAUGUUUAUUAUUUUAAGCGCUUCAUUUUUAUGUUUCUCUUUUUGUUCCUUUUGUACUUUUCCGCUGUUCCUCAAAGUUAUGUCUAAAAUCUCUUUGAAGCCUGGAGUAAUGGCUGCUGAAAAUCCCACUUUGUCAUCACAGGAAUAAAAUAUAUUCAAAUAGAAAACUGUUAUUUUGA
Molecule: long non-coding RNA, 1511 nt
Organism: Cyprinus carpio (common carp)
Lineage: Eukaryota; Metazoa; Chordata; Actinopteri; Cypriniformes; Cyprinidae
Source: Ensembl